CGGCAAUAGCUCAAAUUUGAAAUCUGGCUCGCGCCCGAGUUGUAAUUUGCAGAGGUGGCUUCGGAGCCGCACCGGCCUAAGUUCCUUGGAACAGGACGUCACAGAGGGUGAGAAUCCCGUACGUGCCCGGUGGCCGCCCCCGUGUGAAGCUCCUUCGAC
RNAcentral lists this ribosomal RNA (159 nucleotides) under Karschia sp. (in: ascomycete fungi). RNAcentral's name for it is "Karschia sp. (in: Fungi) partial large subunit ribosomal RNA". It matches the Rfam family "Eukaryotic large subunit ribosomal RNA", at positions 99 to 261 of the family's 3401-position model. Lineage: Eukaryota; Fungi; Ascomycota; Dothideomycetes; Asterinales; Stictographaceae. The record is from RNAcentral.